RNA transcript from Phyllostomus hastatus (greater spear-nosed bat), 1602 nucleotides. It is a transcript of the gene named ubiquitin related modifier 1, with no coding region annotated. Lineage: Eukaryota; Metazoa; Chordata; Mammalia; Chiroptera; Phyllostomidae. The record is from RefSeq and is a predicted model, not a curated record. The transcript has 6 exons.
UGAGGGGAGUUUCCUGCAAGCUCGGCUUCCUCAACAUGGCAGCGCCCUUAUCAGUGGAGGUGGAGUUCGGGGGCGGCGCGGAGCUCCUGUUCGACGGUGUGAAGAAGCAUCAGAUCACCCUGCCUGGACAGGAGGAGCCCUGGGACCUCCGGAACCUCCUCGUCUGGAUCAAGAAGAACCUGCUCAAGGAGCGGCCGGAGCUGUUCCUCCAAGGAGACAGUGUCUUCUUCACCCGCCCCAGGCCCGGCCCAGCUCAGCCCCCUCGGCAAGGAGCCAGGCUCCGUGUGCAAGAAGUCACUUGACUUCUACAACGAGGCCGGCCGAAGAGUGCGCUUGUCCAUCUGCCCGGAAGCAGAGGCCACCAGGACGUCCUGGGGGCUGAGGCUGCAUCCAGCCCCUGGCUCAGGCCAUGGCCCAGCAGUCAUGGAGGCCACCCUCCCACCCCCCGAAGACAGCGGCCAGGAAUCCUGGUGCUGAUUAACGAUGCCGACUGGGAGCUGCUGGGCGAGCUGGACUACCAGCUUCAGGACCAGGACAGCGUCCUCUUCAUAUCCACGCUGCACGGCGGCUGAGGGCCCCCCCUCUGUGCCUGGGCCCCCUGUGGGGCGGGGAGGACGACCAGACCUCCCCUCGGACCCUGCUUCCGGAGCUCCCUGUCCCCCUCGGCUGCCUUCCUCCCUGCUCUGUCCCCUGAGCUCCCUCCAGGCAGGGAAAAGAGGGCAGGUGCUAAAAUGAGCCUUUCGCAGGCACAUGAGCAGGGGAAGGCGGGCGGGCGGGCGGGCUCCUGAGCCCAGCCCUCCCUCUCCCAGCAGCUGAGGUGGGGGAGGGUGCCCCUCUGGUUUGCCAAGAGUAGAGGGGGGCCCUGGGGCCAGGUGAUCCAGCUGCCUUCCAUUCCUGUGUCUCCGUCUAGACACUGAGUGACCACUGACAAGGCGCUCCAGCUCCGGGUCAUAGUGGCCUCGUGGGAAAGACGAAUGGCCCUCAACAGCUGGUGGGAUGCCCCUCCCUCCUCAGACAUUGGAGGCGUCCCCGCCUCAGUUUCCCUAUCUGGACAGUAGAGGGCUCUGCCUGUCCCCCACUGAUGUCAUUGUGGAACCCCAGCUGGGGUCCCCUAUUCAGUGCUGACCCCCUGCCCACCACCCAGCAGCUGCUCUUCCAGCCACACCCCUCCUCCUGCUCCCCCCAUCCCCAGCCCUUGACCCUGGCUGGCCUUCCCCCGCCCACCCCCCCACCCCCCACAGCAGGCCACCAGAUGGGCUCCUGCGACCUUCCCCCAGCAAAAGGCUGCCUGCAGCCCGUUCUGGAAAGGAAGGAAUGAGCUUAACCUUGGACUGUCAGAGGCAUUGGAAGGGUCAGUGUGCCUCAGUUUCCUCCUCAGCAACAGCUGAUGAAUUACAGUGUCUGAAAACGUGGGUGACACUGACGUCACAGAUUAGGCUCCCUCUCCCGUCCUGCCUCCUGCAGGAAGCAGGGCUGGGGCAGCAGCACCUGGGCAGGCGGGGCGGCUCACCCCUCCUCCCUCCACCCUUCUGGAAGUCUCAGGGCCUCCUCAGGGCCUGCAACAGCUGGCCUCGGGCAAAUAAAAGACUGGGUUGUUUACUA